AUGCUUUUCCUAAAGAUUAAGCCAUGCAUGCCUAAGACUAUGGGGAAGCAAUUCUCUCUGAAUCUGCGAACGGCUCCGCAAACCAGUUGUAAACCAUAGCAGUGUUCCGCCCGGCUUCAGCAAUGGGGUCGGGCAUUAUAUGGAUAACCGUGGUAAUUCUGAGGCUAACACAUGACACACCAACUCGGCGGGCUGGGGCAACCGGCUUGCUGGGUGACGUGCGAAUCAGCAAUGCUAUAACGAACAUCGGGAAUGAGCG
Molecule: ribosomal RNA, 259 nt
Filed under: uncultured Stemonitis sp.
Lineage: Eukaryota; Evosea; Eumycetozoa; Stemonitida
Description: partial 18S ribosomal RNA
Rfam family: Eukaryotic small subunit ribosomal RNA
Source: RNAcentral